UACAGAGGUCUCAAGCGUUGUUCGGAUUCAUUGGGCGUAAAGGGUGCGUAGGCGGCGCGGUAAGUCGGGUGUGAAAUCUCGGAGCUUAACUCCGAAACUGCAUUCGAUACUGCCGUGCUUGAGGUCUGGAGAGGAGACUGGAAUUUACGGUGUAGCGGUGAAAUGCGUAGAUAUCGUGAGGAAGACCAGUGGCGAAGGCGGGUCUCUGGCCUGUUCCUGUCGCUGAGGCGCGAAUGCCUGGGGAGCAAUCGGG
Molecule: ribosomal RNA, 253 nt
Filed under: uncultured bacterium
Lineage: Bacteria
Description: partial 16S ribosomal RNA
Rfam family: Bacterial small subunit ribosomal RNA
Source: RNAcentral